Molecule: long non-coding RNA, 876 nt
Filed under: Equus asinus (donkey)
Lineage: Eukaryota; Metazoa; Chordata; Mammalia; Perissodactyla; Equidae
Description: lncRNA (ENSEASG00005035308.1, ENSEASG00020019234.1)
Source: RNAcentral
GUCGAGGCCAUCUUGUUCACUCACUUCACAGAGAUACAAACAAACCAAAAGAGAUGAUUCUAUUUACUUAAGAUUCACUGGUAUGUGGGAGAGCUAUGUUUUAGACAGUAAAAAAUCUAGCUGUAAUCUGGAUGGCAGAUUGGGCAGGGAGAGGCCAGAAGCAAAGAGACCCAUUAGGAAGAUGUGACAUCAUCAGAAAUCAAGGUCUCACUUCCACGGGGGAUCCUUAUGGGGUGCAAAGAAAUCAUAAUUCAACACCAACAAGAUGGCUAGCUCCAAGACUGUGCAAAGAGCAGAACUGAUUCAGGCUGUGCCUGUCCUGUUAUUAAUGAUUUAAGGACUCAGAGCAACUAAUGCAUUAUGCCCACGUGUGAGGAAGAGAAAGGCAUCUUGGGAUGCAGGGCAAAGAGAGAACAUUCAUAACGCUAAUUGGGAACGAGCCCCCAGGGGAUCUUCACCGCCCAUAAGCAAGAAUGAAGUAUGAACCCUCCCACCUUUGACUCCAGAAUCAAACUAUAAAUCAAACAGCAGGAUCAUUUGGUGAAGGACUGUGGAGGAUUCCUCGCUGGGAAAAUGAGGGAACUGGACUCCACUCCGCUGCCUGCAGGAACUUGGAAUGCUGGAAUCUCACGUCCAAAGGAGUAACUCUCCCACAGGGAGUUUCCAGCACUGUGGCAGAAGGAAAGAGAAAGCACAAAUACGUUCUUGAAAGACACAGACUCUCUGGUGCCCCUUGAGUCACACAUAUCAAAUUGAAAUGAACAAAUGAGUAUCUGUUCCCCGCUUCUGAUGUGUGAGGCUGUCGACUGGCAGGGGUUACUAUGCUUAGGUUUUCAACUGGCUCUGUUGCCUCCACUAAAAAUAAGCCGCCAGUAU